RNAcentral lists this ribosomal RNA (433 nucleotides) under uncultured bacterium. RNAcentral describes it as "partial 16S ribosomal RNA". It matches the Rfam family "Bacterial small subunit ribosomal RNA", at positions 29 to 507 of the family's 1533-position model. The record is from RNAcentral.
AACGAACGCUGGCGGCAUGCCUAACACAUGCAAGUCGAACGAGACCUUCGGGUCUAGUGGCGCACGGGGGCGUAACGCGUGGGAACCUGCCCUUAGGUUCGGAAUAACUCCCCGAAAGGGGUGCUAAUACCGGACAAUGUCUUCUGCCCAAAGAUUUAUCGCCUUUGGAUGGGCCCUCGUUGGAUUAGCUAGUUGGUAGGGUAAAAGCCUACCAAGGCGACGAUCCAUAGCUGGUCUGAGAGGCUGAUCAGCCACACUGGGACUGAGACACGGCCCAGACUCCUACGGGAGGCAGCAGUGGGGAAUGUUGGACAAUGGGCGAAAGCCUGAUCCAGCAAUGCCGCGUGAGUGAUGAAGGCCUUAGGGUUGUAAAGCUCUUUUACCCGGGCUGAUAAUGACAGUACCGGGAGAAUAAGCUCCGGCUAACUCCGUG